This 409-nucleotide ribosomal RNA is filed under the name Bamazomus subsolanus. RNAcentral describes it as "partial small subunit ribosomal RNA". Lineage: Eukaryota; Metazoa; Arthropoda; Arachnida; Schizomida; Hubbardiidae. The record is from RNAcentral.
UAAUGGUUGAUGGUUGAUUAGUUUUUACAUGUAGUUCAAUUGUAAAUAUUAAUAUUAAUGACGGUAUUUUUUAUAUUCUGAGGAACUUGUUUUUGUAAGUUGAUGAUACACAAAAAAUCUUUCUUAUAUUCAAAUUGGUUAGAAGUAGCUUUAUCUUGAUAAUUUAUGUAUUGCUGUUUAAUUUAUUUUUUAAUAGAAAAAAAUUUUAAUAAGUGUAAGUGAAAGAGUUUAUAUUAUGAAAUUCAAGUCAAAAUGUAGUUUUUAUAUAAGUUUAAAAUAGGUUACAUUUAUAUAGUAUUAGGUAAAAUAAAAUUGAAACUGAUAAUUUUUAUGAAAUUUGAAGAUUUGAUGUUGGAUUAGAUUGUAAAUGUUUAAUUAGUAAGUAGUGUUGAUAUUUUUAAAAAUAUGU